GCCCUCGUAGCUCAACUGGAUAGAGCGGCUCCCUUCGAAGGAGAAGGUUGUGGGUUCAAGUCCUGCCGGGGGCA
RNAcentral lists this transfer RNA (74 nucleotides) under candidate division WOR-1 bacterium RIFOXYA12_FULL_43_27. Its description in RNAcentral is "tRNA-Arg". It matches the Rfam family "tRNA". Rfam says of the family: Transfer RNA (tRNA) molecules are approximately 80 nucleotides in length. Their secondary structure includes four short double-helical elements and three loops (D, anti-codon, and T loops). RNAcentral also lists the same sequence under 3 other names. The record is from RNAcentral. Lineage: Bacteria; Bacillati.